Molecule: long non-coding RNA, 825 nt
Organism: Galeopterus variegatus (Sunda flying lemur)
Lineage: Eukaryota; Metazoa; Chordata; Mammalia; Dermoptera; Cynocephalidae
Exons: 2
Source: RefSeq, a predicted model, not a curated record
AAUGCUAGAAAAACACUUCACACCAAAAAGUACAAUUUAAGACUAGUAUAUUUCCUCGGAAGGUUCCAAUAAAUUUUACAGGUGUCAAUCAAUCCUUGUUCAAAUCGGGCACACACCAAAUCUAGCAUCAUGGGAGUUUUAUUGGAAGUGAAUUUUUAACUAUCAAUACAAAUGUCAAGAUACUACACAAAACAUCCACAGGAACUUAUUUUUUUUUUUUUUGAAUUGUACACAAACAUUUCCUACAUAAUCCAACAUACAACAGAGAAAUGGUACAUCUUUCAAUUUGCAUACAAUGGAAAAACAAGAAUAUAUAUAUAUUUUACAAAGUUUAACUAAUAGACACUAGCAGGUUGACAGUAAGUCUAUAGGUGAGAAAUUACCUAAUAAAAAUAAUCAGAAUUUAUUCAGCAUCACUCACUUCCAUAACCAAGUGUUAUUGUGAUUAAUAAAACUUGCUGCCAAUCAGGCUUCUGGUAUAUACUUAUACCAUUAUUCAAUUUGUAGAACUGCUCCCCACCACGUUUCUUCAAAACUAACAGAAAACUGUUGAAGUGGGGGCAAGCAUUUGCAAAAACAAACAAAAAAUCCCCAGCUUAUUAUAAGCAUGAAUAUGUAAGAUGGAAUUUCUUCCUAAGCAAUGAACUUUCAAACCAUCAAGAAAACACCAGAACCAUUUGCCAAGAUAUUUUGCCUAUGUCCGAGAAAAGAUGCACUUAUAUCCAACAGAGGAGCUGAAAAUCAAACUUAGUGUUUAGUUUUGGGUGGAUUGGGAAAUUAUGCCACCAUUUGAAAAAUGACUGUCUUAAAAAAAAAAAAAAAAAA